RNAcentral lists this microRNA precursor (78 nucleotides) under Clunio marinus. RNAcentral describes it as "mir-11 microRNA precursor family". It matches the Rfam family "mir-11 microRNA precursor family". Lineage: Eukaryota; Metazoa; Arthropoda; Insecta; Diptera; Chironomidae. The record is from Rfam by way of RNAcentral.
UUUCCCAGCGAGAACUCUUUCUGUGGCUGCCUUUCCUAUCAUUCAUACGGCAUCACAGUCUGAGUUCUUGCUUGGCGA